This 111-nucleotide ribosomal RNA is filed under the name Caerostris darwini. Lineage: Eukaryota; Metazoa; Arthropoda; Arachnida; Araneae; Araneidae. The record is from RNAcentral.
ACGACCAUACCAUGCUGAAUAUACCGGUUCUCGUUAGAUCACCGAAGUCAAGCAACAUCGGGCGCGGUCAGUACUUGGGUGGGUGACCACCUGGGAACACCGCGUGUCGUU